GCAUCUGUGAGGUCAUCUCCCUUUCUGUAGAGCAUAUGAUCUUUACUGAUGCACCUGCAUCUGGCUCAGACUUAGUCACCCAGCCCUGAAAUUAUAUCAUAUCACAGGUCAUUCUCUGAGUCUCUUAAUGUGAGGCCUUGAGAGAAAAAUCAACAUGCCUUCUGUUGGAUGAAGACCAAUCAGCAAGAUGGUGGUGAUUGUGAGUCGUUGCAAGGAUCAAGUGAGUUGAAAUCCGUAAGGUGCUUGGGAGAAUGCCUGGCGCCUGGAAGCACUGUUGCUGCAGUAAUUCUGCUGACGUCAUCCCCAUACUUGCCAUCCUCUUGCAGGGUUGUAGGUUCUAAGG
Long non-coding RNA from Homo sapiens (human), 343 nucleotides. Lineage: Eukaryota; Metazoa; Chordata; Mammalia; Primates; Hominidae. The record is from Ensembl.